This 440-nucleotide ribosomal RNA is filed under the name uncultured bacterium. Its description in RNAcentral is "partial 16S ribosomal RNA". It matches the Rfam family "Bacterial small subunit ribosomal RNA", at positions 338 to 795 of the family's 1533-position model. The record is from RNAcentral.
CCUACGGGAGGCAGCAGUGGGGGAUAUUGCACAAUGGGGGGAACCCUGAUGCAGCGACGCCGCGUGGGUGAAGAAGCGCCUCGGCGCGUAAAGCCCUGUCAGCAGGGAAGAAAAUGACGGUACCUGAAGACAAAGCCCCGGCUAACUAAGUGCCAGCAGCCGCGGUAAUACGGAGGGGGCAAGCGUUAUCCGGAUUUACUGGGUGCAAAGGGGGCGCAGACGGCGAUGCAAGCCAGGAGUUAAAGCCCGGGGCCCAACCCCGGGACUGCUCUUGGAACUGCGUGGCUUGAGUGCAGGAGGGGCAGGCGGAAUUCCUGGUGUAGCGGUGAAAUGCGUAGAUAUCAGGAGGAACACCGGUGGCGAAGGCGGCCUGCUGGACUGCAACUGACGUUGAGGCCCGAAAGCGUGGGGAGCAAACAGGAUUAGAUACCCGGGUAGUC